UACCUACGGGGGGCAGCAGUGGGGGAUAUUGCACAAUGGGGGGAACCCUGAUGCAGCGACGCCGCGUGGGUGAAGGAGCGUUUCGGCGCGUAAAGCCCUAUCGGCAGGGAAGAAGGAGGACGGUACCUGACUAAGAAGCCCCGGCUAACUACGUGCCAGCAGCCGCGGUAAUACGUAGGUGGCGAGCGUUGUCCGGAAUUACUGGGUGUAAAGGGAGUGUAGGCGGGAAAGCAA
RNAcentral lists this ribosomal RNA (234 nucleotides) under uncultured bacterium. RNAcentral describes it as "partial 16S ribosomal RNA". It matches the Rfam family "Bacterial small subunit ribosomal RNA", at positions 335 to 586 of the family's 1533-position model. The record is from RNAcentral.